Small nuclear RNA from Mirounga angustirostris (Northern elephant seal), 147 nucleotides. RefSeq annotates it as U4 spliceosomal RNA. The record is from RefSeq and is a predicted model, not a curated record. The transcript has a single exon. Lineage: Eukaryota; Metazoa; Chordata; Mammalia; Carnivora; Phocidae.
AGCUUUGCGCAGUGGCAGUAUCCUAGCCAAUGAGGUUUAUCCGAGGCGCGAUUAUUGCUAAUUAAAAUGUCCAUACUACCCAAAGCCAUCUACAAAUUCAAUGCAAUCCCUAGCAAAAUUCCAAUGGCACUUUUGCAGAAAUAGAAA